RNAcentral lists this transfer RNA (76 nucleotides) under Rhizobium sp. Root1203. Its description in RNAcentral is "tRNA-Met". It matches the Rfam family "tRNA". Rfam says of the family: Transfer RNA (tRNA) molecules are approximately 80 nucleotides in length. Their secondary structure includes four short double-helical elements and three loops (D, anti-codon, and T loops). Lineage: Bacteria; Pseudomonadati; Pseudomonadota; Alphaproteobacteria; Hyphomicrobiales; Rhizobiaceae. The record is from RNAcentral.
CGCAGGGUAGGGAAGCGGCCAUCCCGCGUGGUUCAUACCCACGAAAUCGCAGGUUCGAGUCCUGCCCCUGCAACCA